RNAcentral lists this long non-coding RNA (432 nucleotides) under Erythranthe guttata (spotted monkey flower). Its description in RNAcentral is "long non-coding RNA (EGUT_LNC000979)". Lineage: Eukaryota; Viridiplantae; Streptophyta; Magnoliopsida; Lamiales; Phrymaceae. The record is from RNAcentral.
CAUGGUGCAGUUCUUUUGCAAUCGAUAGAUUGAAAUUGUUGUUGUGUUGAAAAGUAGGAUUUGAAGCUAUAAAUACAAACUACACUAUAUCUGACUAUAAGUCACAUGUGGUCAUAUACAUGUAGUCAUAUAUAGUCACAUAGUAGUCAUAUAUAGUCACGUGUAGUCAUAUACAUGUAGUCAUAUAUAGUCACGUAUAGUCAUAUACAUGUAGUCAUAUAUAGUCAUGUGUAGUCAUAUAUAGUCACGUGUAGUCAUAUACAUGUAGUCAUAUAUAGUCAUGUGUAGUCAUAUAUAGUCAUGUGUAGUCAUAUAUAGUCACGUGUAGUCAUAUAUAGUCAUGUGUAGUCAUAUAUAGUCACGUGUAGUAACUCGUAGUAAUAUAUUGUUAUAUAUAAGCUAUAUAAGUUAUGUGUUUUUUCUGAUGUACAG